Meleagris gallopavo (turkey) is the source of this 1499-nucleotide non-coding RNA. The record is from RefSeq and is a predicted model, not a curated record. NCBI's taxonomy places the organism in Eukaryota, Metazoa, Chordata, Aves, Galliformes, Phasianidae.
GGGAUGCCUCAGCUUGUUGUUUGUUAGACUUCUUCAAAGUGACUAACUUUCACCUUUCUGUUUAGGAAUCCUGUUGUCAUAAAGUAUUGCCCUACACAUGCUUGAUAAUAAUGCAGUGAGGAGCCAGUGCAAAGGAGAUGACCAAAAGGGAAGAAAAAGGAAAAAAAGUCUGCUUUUACAAUUGAUGUUCCUCCAUUCUGAAAUGUUUUGAUGGUAGAUAGCUUAAGAAGAAGGCAAGAAGCCAACUGUUGACUUACAGUACUUAGCAACAAGUUAGUGCUUGGAGGGAAUGUGUCCUGCCUUUGGAGCAGCUGACUUAGUUGGGAGUUUUUGAAAAGUGUGUCUGCAUUAUAGCUAGACCUUGGGUACUUGGCAGUGACAUUAUGAUGAAAUUGUUGGCAUCCUUUGUGACUUACGUAUAUUCUAUGACUUGACUUUUUAAACUCACUCUAUGAGGGGGCUGUAGGGAUAAAAGCAGGCAGUGAAUAGACAACCAGACCUCUUGGAGGAGUGGAGAACAGAGGAGGAGGAAGGUUUCUGAGCUGAGCUCCAGAAUUGGGAAUCAAGAAGCAUGGAUGCUCACAGAAGAGGGCUGAAGCAGUGUUUGGAAAAUAAGUGAUUAAAUAAGCAUAAAACAUUGUUUGUUCCAGAAAUAUCAGGUGCCUUUGCCUCUACCUGGAAUGACAGAGAGCUAAGUCUUCUUAUGUUCAGGUGGUGCAAGUAGAUGAUAGCUUUAUCACUAAUCCUUAUGCUCUAGGGUUUUAUCACUGAACCUUGUGCCCUAGGAUUUUUUUCUCUAUGGAAGGUUUCCCUGCACUACUACUCUACCUGGUUCUGCAAGGAAAAACGGUCUGGCCAAAAAGACAGAGGUACUACCUGGACCCUGGCUGAUAGCCUAGAUAACCCAUUGCAGCAGAGGAUCUGUACACCCCAAAUCCUGAACUUUUCUAGGAACAGAAAUGUAACUGCCUGGGAAACGGGAAGCAUUUUUGUCCCUAUAUGAGGCAGUGCAGUUGUCUGUGUAAAAUAUAAAUGUGAUGGCCAUCAUCCAGGUCUGGAUCAAAAAGCAACCACAUCAGAACCCCACUCUUCAGCAGGUGAUAGCUUCCUGAGAGAUACCAGUAACUGAAUGGGUAAGGAGAGAGAGACCAUAUCUGGAACUGCAGGAGGACUCUGAUGAGAAGUGGUUACAGUUACAGCCAAGUUGUAUCUGCUCUGCCUCAAAGAAGGCUUUCAUCUCUGCAAUCAGUGGUCAGAAAAGAAAGAGCUUCAUUGCUAUUAAAGCCAACAGGAUCACCUGCUUUGGUCCCCUGUGUGAAACAGGUGGUAGAUAUAAGACAGCUUUUAUUGUUUACUUUGACAAACUAAAUUUCUUUAAGUGGGUUACUUUGGUAUGUUUUAAUUUUGUAAGCAGUUUUUCCAUCUCAGUGUCGUUAUGUGCAUUAGUAGUCACUGAUGAAUGAAUAAAAGUAUCUCAAUUACGUGCAUGGCAAAUUAAA